RNAcentral lists this ribosomal RNA (443 nucleotides) under uncultured bacterium. RNAcentral's name for it is "partial 16S ribosomal RNA". It matches the Rfam family "Bacterial small subunit ribosomal RNA", at positions 338 to 795 of the family's 1533-position model. The record is from RNAcentral.
CCUACGGGUGGCAGCAGUGGGGAAUAUUGGACAAUGGGGGGAACCCUGAUCCAGCGACGCCGCGUGAGUGAAGAAGUAUUUCGGUAUGUAAAGCUCUAUCAGCAGGGAAGAAAGGAAUGACGGUACCUGACUAAGAAGUCUCGGCUAACUACGUGCCAGCAGCCGCGGUAAUACGUAGGGGGCAAGCGUUAUCCGGAUUUACUGGGUGUAAAGGUAGCGUAGGCGGUUACGCAAGUCUGGAGUGAAAGGCGGGGGCCCAACCCCCGGACUGCCUUGGAAACUGGAUAACUGGAGUGCAGGAGAGGUAAGUGGAAGUCCUGGUGUAGCGGUGAAAUGCGUAGAUAUUAGGAGGAACACCAGUGGCGAAGGCGGCUUACUGGACUGUAACUGACGUUGAGGCUCGAAAGCGUGGGGAGCAAACAGGAUUAGAUACCCCGGUAGUC